RNAcentral lists this ribosomal RNA (253 nucleotides) under uncultured bacterium. RNAcentral's name for it is "partial 16S ribosomal RNA". It matches the Rfam family "Bacterial small subunit ribosomal RNA", at positions 524 to 776 of the family's 1533-position model. The record is from RNAcentral.
UACAGAGGUGCCGAGCGUUAGGCGGAAUCACUGGGCUUAAAGCGUGUGUAGGCGGACUGUUAAGUACCUUGUGAAAUCCCCCGGCUCAACCGGGGAACGGCUGGGUAUACUGGCGGUCUUGAGCCAUCCAGGGGCAGUCGGAACAGACGGUGGAGCGGUGAAAUGCGUAGAUAUCGUCUGGAACGCCGAAGGUGAAAACAGACUGCUGGGGAUGAGCUGACGCUGAGACACGAAAGCCAGGGGAGCGAACGGG